RNAcentral lists this ribosomal RNA (280 nucleotides) under uncultured bacterium. Its description in RNAcentral is "partial 16S ribosomal RNA". It matches the Rfam family "Bacterial small subunit ribosomal RNA", at positions 1 to 258 of the family's 1533-position model. The record is from RNAcentral.
CUCGGCAAGACUUGAUUAAGUUUGAUCAUGGCUCAGGCACGAGACGNUAGCGGCGUGCCUAAUACAUGCAAGUCGAGCGAACAGAGAAGGAGCUUGCUCCUUUGACGUUAGCGGCGGACGGGUGAGUAACACGUGGGCAACCUACCUUAUAGUUUGGGAUAACUCCGGGAAACCGGGGCUAAUACCGAAUAAUCUAUUUUACUUCAUGGUGAAAUACUGAAAGACGGUUUCGGCUGUCGCUAUAAGAUGGGCCCGCGGCGCAUUAGCUAGUUGGUGAGGU